Molecule: ribosomal RNA, 680 nt
Filed under: uncultured Pseudomonadaceae bacterium
Lineage: Bacteria; Pseudomonadati; Pseudomonadota; Gammaproteobacteria; Pseudomonadales; Pseudomonadaceae
Description: SSU rRNA
Rfam family: Bacterial small subunit ribosomal RNA
Source: RNAcentral
CGGAUGAAGGGAGCUUGCUCCUGGAUUCAGCGGCGGACGGGUGAGGAAUGCCUAGGAAUCUGCCUGGUAGUGGGGGAUAACGUCCGGAAACGGGCGCUAAUACCGCAUACGUCCUGAGGGACAAAGUGGGGGAUCUUCGGACCUCACGCUAUCAGAUGAGCCUACGUCGGAUUAGCUCAUUGGUGGGGUAAAGGCCUACCCAAGCGACGAUCCGUAACUGGUCUGAGAGGAUGAUCCGUCACACAGGAACUGAGACCCGGGUCCAGACUCCUACGGGACGCAGCAGUGGAGAAUAUUGGCCAAUGGGCGAAACCCUGAUCCAGCCAUGCCGCGUGUGUGAAGAAGGUCUUCGGAUUGUAAAGCACUUUAAGUUGGGAGGAAGGGCAGUAAGUUAAUACCUUGCUGUUUUGACGUUACCAACAGAAUAAGCACCGGCUAACUUCGUGCCAGCAGCCGCGGUAAUACGAAGGGUGCAAGCGUUAAUCGGAAUUACUGGGCGUAAAGCGCGCGUAGGUGGUUCAGCAAGUUGGAUGUGAAAUCCCCGGGCUCAACCUGGGAACUGCAUCCAAAACUACUGAGCUAGAGUACGGUAGAGGGUGGUGGAAUUUCCUGUGUAGCGGUGAAAUGCGUAGAUAUAGGAAGGAACACCAGUGGCGAAGGCGACCACCUGGACUGAUACU